RNAcentral lists this ribosomal RNA (592 nucleotides) under uncultured methanogenic archaeon. Its description in RNAcentral is "bacterial SSU rRNA". It matches the Rfam family "Archaeal small subunit ribosomal RNA", at positions 332 to 924 of the family's 1478-position model. The record is from RNAcentral. Lineage: Archaea; Methanobacteriati; Methanobacteriota.
GCAGCAGGCGCGAAAACUUUACACUGCGGGAAACCGCGAUAAGGGGACCACGAGUGCCAGCACCUAGUGCUGGCUGUCCUACUGUCUAAAUAACAAUGGUUAGCAAGGGCCGGGCAAGACCGGUGCCAGCCGCCGCGGUAACACCGGCGGCCCGAGUGGUAACCGUUUUUAUUGGGUUUAAAGGGUCCGUAGCCGGCUUAUUAAGUCUCUUGGGAAAUCUGGCGGCUCAAUCGUCAGGCGGCCAAGAGAUACUGGUAGGCUUGGGACCGGGAGAGGUGGGAGGUACUCCAGGGGUAGGGGUGAAAUCUCGUAAUCCUUGGGGGACCACCGAUGGCGAAGGCAUCCCACCAGAACGGGUCCGACGGUGAGGGACGAAAGCUGGGGGCACGAACCGGAUUAGAUACCCGGGUAGUCCCAGCUGUAAACGAUGCUCGCUAGGUGUCAGGUGCGGUGCGACCGCAUCUGGUGCCGCAGUGAAAACUUGAAGCGAGUCACCUGGGAAGUACGGUCGCAAGGCUGAAACUUAAAGGAAUUGGCGGGGGAGCACUACAACAGGUGGAGCCUGCGGUUCAAUUGGACUCAACGCCGGAAA